GACGAACGCUGGCGGCGUGCUUAACACAUGCAAGUCGAACGGAAAGGCCCUUCGGGGUCCUCGAGUGGCGAACGGGUGAGUAACACGUGGGUGAUCUGCCCUGCACUUUGGGAUAAGCCUGGGAAACUGGGUCUAAUACCGAAUAGGACCACGCGCUUCAUGGUGUGUGGUGGAAAGCUUUUGCGGUGUGGGAUGGGCCCGCGGCCUAUCAGCUCGUUGGUGGGGUAAUGGCCUACCAAGGCGACGACGGGUAGCCGACCUGUGAGGGGGACCAGCGACACUAGGACUAAGGGACGGACCAGACUGCAACGGGAGGCAACAGGGGAAAGUAUUACACAGUGAGGGCGAGCGUGAUGCAGCGGCGCCGCGUGAGGGAUGACGGCCUUCGGGGUAUGAACCUCUUUCAAUAGAGACGAAGCGCAAGUGACGGUACCUAUAGAAGAAGCACCGGCCAACUACGUG
This 462-nucleotide ribosomal RNA is filed under the name uncultured bacterium. Its description in RNAcentral is "partial 16S ribosomal RNA". It matches the Rfam family "Bacterial small subunit ribosomal RNA", at positions 28 to 507 of the family's 1533-position model. The record is from RNAcentral.